Molecule: ribosomal RNA, 468 nt
Filed under: uncultured bacterium
Lineage: Bacteria
Description: bacterial SSU rRNA
Rfam family: Bacterial small subunit ribosomal RNA
Source: RNAcentral
GAUGAACGCUGGCGGCGUGCUUAACACAUGCAAGUCGAACGAACUGAUAAGGAGCUUGCUCCUUUGAAGUUAGUGGCGGACGGUGAGUAACGCGUGGGUAACCUGCCCUAUGCAGGGGAUAACGUUUGGAAACGAACGCUAAUACCGCAUAAACUAUGGUUGUUCGCAUGAACAAUAUAGCAAAGAUUUAUCGGCAUAGGAUGGACCCGCGUUGGAUUAGCUAGUUGGUGAGAUAACAGCCCACCAAGGCGACGAUCCAUAGCCGGCCUGAGAGGGUGAACGGCCACAUUGGGACUGAGACACGGCCCAAACUCCUACGGGAGGCAGCAGUGGGGAAUAUUGCACAAUGGGCGCAAGCCUGAUGCAGCGACGCCGCGUGAAGGAUGAAGGUCUUCGGAUUGUAAACUUCUAUCAGCGGGGAAGAAAAAAAUGACGGUACCUGACUAAGAAGCUCCGGCUAACUACGUG